Molecule: ribosomal RNA, 163 nt
Filed under: Borinda lushuiensis
Lineage: Eukaryota; Viridiplantae; Streptophyta; Magnoliopsida; Poales; Poaceae
Description: Fargesia lushuiensis 5.8S ribosomal RNA
Rfam family: 5.8S ribosomal RNA
About the family: 5.8S ribosomal RNA (5.8S rRNA) is a component of the large subunit of the eukaryotic ribosome. It is transcribed by RNA polymerase I as part of the 45S precursor that also contains 18S and 28S rRNA. Functionally, it is thought that 5.8S rRNA may be involved in ribosome translocation.
Source: RNAcentral
ACAUGACUCUCGGCAACGGAUAUCUCGGCUCUCGCAUCGAUGAAGAACGUAGCGAAAUGCGAUACCUGGUGUGAAUUGCAGAAUCCCGCGAACCAUCGAGUCUUUGAACGCAAGUUGCGCCCGAGGCCAUUGGGCCGAGGGCACGCCUGCCUGGGCGUCACGC